CGUUAAGUCGACCGCCUGGGGAGUACGGCCGCAAGGUUAAAACUCAAAUGAAUUGACGGGGGCCCGCACAAGCGGUGGAGCAUGUGGUUUAAUUCGAUGCAACGCGAAGAACCUUACCUGGUCUUGACAUCCACGGAAGUUUUCAGAGAUGAGAAUGUGCCUUCGGGAACCGUGAGACAGGUGCUGCAUGGCUGUCGUCAGCUCGUGUUGUGAAAUGUUGGGUUAAGUCCCGCAACGAGCGCAACCCUUAUCCUUUGUUGCCAGCGGUCCGGCCGGGAACUCAAAGGAGACUGCCAGUGAUAAACUGGAGGAAGGUGGGGAUGACGUCAAGUCAUCAUGGCCCUUACGACCAGGGCUACACACGUGCUACAAUGGCGCAUACAAAGAGAAGCGACCUCGCGAGAGCAAGCGGACCUCAUAAAGUGCGUCGUAGUCCGGAUUGGAGUCUGCAACUCGACUCCAUGAAGUCGGAAUCGCUAGUAAUCGUGGAUCAGAAUGCCACGGUGAAUACGUUCCCGGGCCUUGUACACACC
RNAcentral lists this ribosomal RNA (533 nucleotides) under Shigella flexneri. Its description in RNAcentral is "bacterial SSU rRNA". It matches the Rfam family "Bacterial small subunit ribosomal RNA", at positions 858 to 1391 of the family's 1533-position model. The record is from RNAcentral. Lineage: Bacteria; Pseudomonadati; Pseudomonadota; Gammaproteobacteria; Enterobacterales; Enterobacteriaceae.